This 371-nucleotide ribosomal RNA is filed under the name uncultured bacterium. Its description in RNAcentral is "partial 16S ribosomal RNA". It matches the Rfam family "Bacterial small subunit ribosomal RNA", at positions 338 to 706 of the family's 1533-position model. The record is from RNAcentral.
CCUACGGGGUGCUGCAGUGAGGAAUAUUGGUCAAUGGGCGAGAGCCUGAACCAGCCAAGUCGCGUGAGGGAAGACGGUCCUACGGAUUGUAAACCUCUUUUGUCAGGGAGCAAGGAGCGCCACGAGUGGUGCGGCGAGAGUACCUGAAGAAAAAGCAUCGGCUAACUCCGUGCCAGCAGCCGCGGUAAUACGGAGGAUGCGAGCGUUAUUCGGAUUUAUUGGGUUUAACGGGUGCGGAGGCGGAGGCUGCAAGUCAGCGGUAAAAUUGCGGGGCGAAACCUCGCCGAGCCGUUGAAACAGCUCUUGGAGAGGAGGCGAGAAGUAUGCGGAAUGCGUGGUGUAGAGGUGAAAAGCAGAGAUAGCACGCAGAA